This is a non-coding RNA of Podarcis lilfordi (Lilford's wall lizard), 66 nucleotides long. NCBI's taxonomy places the organism in Eukaryota, Metazoa, Chordata, Lepidosauria, Squamata, Lacertidae. The record is from the annotation of a GenBank genome assembly.
GAGCUCAGAUGGAACAGCAUGAGAGUCUUAAUCUCAAGGGCGUGGGUUUGAACCUCACGUUAGGCG